AUACGUAGGUGGCAAGCGUUGUCCGGACUUACUGGGUGUAAAGGGCGUGUAGGCGGAGAUGCAAGUCAGGAGUGAAAUCUAGGGGCUCAACCCCUAAACUGCUUUUGAAACUGUAUCCCUUGAGUAUCGGAGAGGCAGGCGGAAUUUCUAGUGUAGCGGGGAAAUGCGUAGAUAUUAGGAGGAACACCAGUGGCGAAGGCGGCCUGCUGGACGACAACUGACGCUGAGGCGCGAAAGCGUGGGGAGCAAACAGGAUUAGAUACCCUGGUAGUCCACGCUGUAAACGAUGAAUACUAGGUGUGGGGGGACUGACCCCCUCCGUGCCGCAGUUAACACAAUAAGUAUUCCACCUGGGGAGUACGAUCGCAAGAUUGAAACUUAAAGGAAUUGACGGGG
This 396-nucleotide ribosomal RNA is filed under the name uncultured bacterium. Its description in RNAcentral is "partial 16S ribosomal RNA". It matches the Rfam family "Bacterial small subunit ribosomal RNA", at positions 523 to 918 of the family's 1533-position model. The record is from RNAcentral.